AGAGUUUGAUCAUGGCUCAGAGCGAACGUUAGCGGCGGGCCUAACACAUGCAAGUCGAACGAGAAAAUCCCUUCGGGGGUGAGUACAGUGGCGCACGGGUGAGGAACGCGUAGGUAAUCCACCCUCUGGCGGGGGACAACACUCCGAAAGGAAUGCUAAUACCGCGUAAGACCACGCUCACUACGGUGAAAGUGGUUAAAGGUGCCUCAAAGCACCACCAGAGGACGAGCCUGCGUCCCAUCAGCUUGUUGGUAAGGUAAUGGCUUACCAAGGCUAAGACGGGUAGCUGGUCUGAGAGGAUGAUCAGCCACACUGGCACUGGAACACGGGCCAGACUCCUACGGGAGGCAGCAGUGAGGAAUAUUGGGCAAUGGGCGCAAGCCUGACCCAGCCACGCCGCGUGUGUGAUGAAGGCCUUCGGGUCGUAAAGCACUGUGGGGAGAGACGAAACAGCGCAUCAGGAAAUGGGUGCGCCUUGACGGUACCUCCUUAGCAAGCACCGGCUAACUCUGUGCCAGCAGCCGCGGUAAUACAGAGGGUGCAAACGUUGCUCGGAUUUACUGGGCGUAAAGCGCGUGUAGGCGGACUCGCAAGUCGGUUGUGAAAUCCCUGGGCUCAACCUAGGAACUGCAUCCGAAACUGCUUGUCUUGAGUAAUGGAGAGGGUGGCGGAAUUCCCGGUGUAGAGGUGAAAUUCGUAGAUAUCGGGAGGAACACCAGUGGCGAAGGCGGCCACCUGGACAUUUACUGACGCUGAGACGCGAAAGCGUGGGGAGCAAACAGGAUUAGAUACCCUAGUAGUCC
This 803-nucleotide ribosomal RNA is filed under the name uncultured bacterium. RNAcentral's name for it is "bacterial SSU rRNA". It matches the Rfam family "Bacterial small subunit ribosomal RNA", at positions 8 to 796 of the family's 1533-position model. The record is from RNAcentral.